Molecule: long non-coding RNA, 1563 nt
Organism: Diachasmimorpha longicaudata
Lineage: Eukaryota; Metazoa; Arthropoda; Insecta; Hymenoptera; Braconidae
Exons: 5
Source: RefSeq, a predicted model, not a curated record
GGCUACAACUGGGAGGAAAGCUCUAAAGUCACCCGAUAUCUCCUUGUCAUUCAGUAUUGAUCUGUAGCCCCUGUCAUUCGUCAGGUUUAUUAUUACAACGGCGAAUGGAAGGAUGAAUAAACUGUUCAUAUUUGAACUCCCCUGCAAUCGCUCAGAGGUUAUUUCGAGUGACUCUGUGAGCUCCGAGAGGAAAAUAAAAUAUUGGCGAUGGUUCGGACACUUGGUUAAGUUUUCCACUAUUUUUGCUGUGUCAACAGUCCCGGAAAAUUAUCGGAAUGGCCAGCUUUAUUUUUAUUACAGUCAUACGAGCAUUGUAGCAUUAAUGCCAAGUAAUAAUAUCCUAGAUUCCAUGUAAGACCUGAGUUUUAUUUCAACUUGAGGAACAAGUUCACUCUCUUGGUUCUAACUGGUGGCCAAAUUCCAUGGACUCCAACUCAUGCGAAAAAAAACUUCUCAAAAAAUGAGCCUAACUGAUAAGAGAAAUCAAAUUUAAACUUCUGACGUAUAAAAAAAUAGUUUUAAACAUUCACUACUGUGAUAAAGAUGUCCUUCGAUUUUUAUAGAGUUAUGCUCGAUAGAAUCUUUUUCGGAAGUUUAAAAAAAAUUAUAAAAUGCAUACUGCCAUGUGGACUCUCAGUAUUCCCUCAUUGAGUUUGUCGGUGUGAAGGAAUUCUUUGAUUGCCUGAUUUAAACGAAAAGGAUUUUUUUUUCCGCCACUUGCAGCAUGUCUUCUGCACUGUGGAUUUGUAUUUGUUUAAUAUCAACUGGAAGUAUUCACGUUGGAAACGCGAUAAAAUAUGGAAUAUUGGCUGACGAGGGUACUUUUCAGUACAUGGUAGCUAUUUUUACCAAAAACGUCUUCACUUGCGGAGGUGCCAUAAUAGAUGCAUCGCACAUUCUCACUGCAGGUCACUGCGUAUUUUGUGCCGAAGCCAACCAAAUGAUAGUAGUAGCAGGAUCAACAAAUGUGGGGUCGGAAUCGAGAGUGUUGCGCGGGGUUGCGACAAUAUAUGUGCAUCAACACUAUAAGGGUAUGGAGACUGAAAAGUUCAACUUUAUGCAGGGAUUAUGCUUAAGAGCUACAUCUAUAAUGAACCUCAGUAUGAAGAAUGAUAUCGCAGUUCUCACACUAGCGGAACCUCUUCCUCUGGGAGGAAACAUUUUCCCAGCUAAAUUACCUGAAACUGAUUUCCUACCCUAUUGUCAAAUGAUGCUUUUUGCCGGAUGGGGUUGGACAAAGGAUGAUAGAAGCGAACCUUUCUUACAAUUUAUGGAUUUUACCAUCGUGCAUCCCGACAUCAAGGUCUUCGCUGAUAACUUCACUGUUGAUGAUGAAUCCCAAUUCGUCGCCAAAAAUCUCAUAGGAGGAAUGAGGCCAGGUUAUGGAGACAGCGGGGGUCCCCUGAUCCACAACAAUGUGAUAUAUGGGGUACUUUCCAGUGCAUGGCCGACUGGCAUAACCUUGUUUACACAGGUGUUCCAUUACCUUGAUUUUAUUAAGAAUGCUUCAGAAGAUUCAUUGUAAACAAUUAUAAUUGCAGUAAAGCUGAGAAAAAUUGAGAA